UACGUAGGUGGCAAGCGUUAUCCGGAAUUAUUGGGCGUAAAGCGCGCGUAGGCGGUUUCUUAAGUCUGAUGUGAAAGCCCACGGCUCAACCGUGGAGGGUCAUUGGAAACUGGGAAACUUGAGUGCAGAAGAGGAAAGUGGAAUUCCAUGUGUAGCGGUGAAAUGCGCAGAGAUAUGGAGGAACACCAGUGGCGAAGGCGACUUUCUGGUCUGUAACUGACGCUGAUGUGCGAAAGCGUGGGGAUCAAACAGG
This 253-nucleotide ribosomal RNA is filed under the name uncultured bacterium. RNAcentral's name for it is "partial 16S ribosomal RNA". It matches the Rfam family "Bacterial small subunit ribosomal RNA", at positions 524 to 776 of the family's 1533-position model. The record is from RNAcentral.